CAAGAGGCUCUGUGAGGAGCUUAUGACUUUUGAUCCAUUUCUGCAGUAAUGGUGCGUUAACUUAAAUCUGUCCUUGACAAGUAUGUCAUUCUUCUGUGCUGCAUAGAAUGUACUCUCUUGAGAAAUUUUCUAAUAUGGUCCGAGAAGGGUAAUGCUACAUCAGAAGACCGAAGAACAGUAUAAGAAAUACUGAACACUUAAUACUGCUGAUGAGAAAUGGUGAAGGGGCCCCAACCUACCAACGUGAGACCAAAGGAAAAAAAAAACAAAAAAACAUUGAAGAAACUUGUAUUAAAACCAAUGAAGCGUGUGAGAUGUACACUAAAGUAAAGACUGAUCUUGUAAAAAAGGGGGAUCUCUUGAGCAGCACUAUGUGAGGAUCCAGCUUUCCUAACCCUACUUCUGCAGUAUCUAUCAACUGAUUCUGAAGGCAUUUAAAGGGCCAAAUAUUCUCCACUUUCAUAAUUCUUUCAUACUCCAUAUUCUGAUAUGUCAGCAACCAGGAAGAAUACCGCACCUGAGGACAGUAGUACCAGUGACCCAAGGGAGCUGCGGCAGGUCAAAUGAACAGAAAUGACCCCGCAAGCGCAGUGCCAUCCUCACCUCUACAAAGCUUUCAUGUGAUUGGCAGACAAUAAAAAAAAAAUGUGAAAAAGUGCAGCAAUCUCAAAGAGUUAUUAUGAAAAGCUAGAACAUGACAGCGCUGAGGGAAACAUUACAUUUCUCUUCAUAUAAUCGUGUAUCGUUUACGACACUUACAGGAGAUGUGACAACAAGCACAGAAUACUUUAGAGUUUGCUCGUUCCAACCCGAUAAUUCUCUACAGUAUUAUAUUUAAUGAUUUCGUUUUUUUUAUUUUUUUAUUCUA
Hyla sarda is the source of this 868-nucleotide long non-coding RNA. RefSeq lists it as uncharacterized. The record is from RefSeq and is a predicted model, not a curated record. Lineage: Eukaryota; Metazoa; Chordata; Amphibia; Anura; Hylidae. The transcript is spliced from 4 exons.